RNAcentral lists this ribosomal RNA (484 nucleotides) under uncultured bacterium. RNAcentral's name for it is "partial 16S ribosomal RNA". It matches the Rfam family "Bacterial small subunit ribosomal RNA", at positions 28 to 507 of the family's 1533-position model. The record is from RNAcentral.
AUUGAACGCUGGCGGCAUGCUUUACACAUGCAAGUCGAACGGCAGCGCGGGCUUCGGCCUGGCGGCGAGUGGCGAACGGGUGAGUAAUGCAUCGGAACGUGCCCAGCAGUGGGGGAUAGCGCGGUGAAAGCCGGAUUAAUACCCCAUACGACCUGAAGGCGAAAGCGGGGGACCGAAAGGCCUCGCGCUAUUGGGGCGGCCGAUGUCGGAUUAGCUAGUUGGUGGGGUAAAGGCUUACCAAGGCGGCGAUCCGUAGCUGGUCUGAGAGGACGACCAGCCACACUGGGACUGAGACACGGCCCAGACUCCUACGGGAGGCAGCAGUGGGGAAUGUUGGACAAUGGGGGCAAGCCUGAUCCAGCCAUGCCGCGUGCGGGAAGAAGGCCUUCGGGUUGUAAAGCGCUUUUGUUCGGGAAGAAAUCCUCUGGGCUAAUACCCCGGGGGGAUGACGGUACCGGAAGAAUAAGCACCGGCUAACUACGUG